CCUACGGGAGGCAGCAGUGGGGAAUAUUGGUCAAUGGGCGCGAGCCUGAACCAGCCACGUCGCGUGAAUGAUGACUGCCCUACGUGUUGUAAACUUCUUUUAUAGAGGAAUAAAGUGAGGCACGUGUGCCUUUUUGUAUGUACUUUAUGAAUAAGGAUCGGCUAACUCCGUUCCAGCAGCCGCGGUAAUACGGAGGAUCCGAGCGUUAUCCGGAUUUAUUGGGUGUAAAGGGAGCGUAGAUGGGUUGUUAAGUCAGUUGUGAAAGCCUGCGGCUCAACCGCAAAAUUGCAAUUGAAACUGGGAGUCUUGAGUACAGGAGAGGUAAGCGGAAUUCCUGGUGUAGCGGUGAAAUGCUUAGAUAUCACGAAGAACUCCGAUGGCGAAGGCAGCUUACUAAACUGCAACUGACAUUGAGGCUCGAAAGUGUGGGUAGCAAACAGGAUUAGAUACCCGAGUAGUC
This 460-nucleotide ribosomal RNA is filed under the name uncultured bacterium. RNAcentral describes it as "partial 16S ribosomal RNA". It matches the Rfam family "Bacterial small subunit ribosomal RNA", at positions 338 to 795 of the family's 1533-position model. The record is from RNAcentral.